This 244-nucleotide ribosomal RNA is filed under the name Chloropicon mariensis. RNAcentral describes it as "partial Bacterial large subunit ribosomal RNA". It matches the Rfam family "Bacterial large subunit ribosomal RNA", at positions 2078 to 2321 of the family's 2925-position model. The record is from RNAcentral. Lineage: Eukaryota; Viridiplantae; Chlorophyta; Chloropicophyceae; Chloropicales; Chloropicaceae.
GGACAGAAAGACCCUAUGAAGCUUUACUAUAACUUGGCAUUGGGUUCGGGCUUGGUUUGCGCAGUAUAAGUGGGAGGCGUUGAUUUUUUCCUUCCGGGGAAAAAGGAGCCAACAAUGAGAUACCACUCUAAUCAAGCUAGACCCCUAACUUUAAACCUUUAACAGGUUAAAGGACAUUGUCAGGCGGGUAGUUUUUCUGGGGCGGAAGCCUCCUAAAAGGUAACGGAGGCGUGCAAAGAUUUCC